RNAcentral lists this long non-coding RNA (404 nucleotides) under Macaca nemestrina (pig-tailed macaque). RNAcentral's name for it is "lncRNA (ENSMNEG00000046013.1)". The record is from RNAcentral. Lineage: Eukaryota; Metazoa; Chordata; Mammalia; Primates; Cercopithecidae.
AUUAACAAGAACAACUUAGGAAUGGCAGCUUCCAUUGAUGAGCUUCCUACUUUGUUCUCCUGAUGGAAAACAGACAGUUGUUUCCCUGUUGAAGACUAGCCACCCUGGAGAGGUGAACAGUUCACUCUCAAGGCCAUAAUGACUUGAACACUGGCUGUCUAGAAACAGAGAGGCGGGCAGCGGCAGACAGGAACAGAGGUGGAACAUCUUCCUCCAUCAGGAGCUGCACCUCGGAAGUGUCCUUAGAUGUGGCUUGGAAUUGGGAUCCUUCCAUUCCCCUCAGGAGAGUCAGCCAAAAAUAUCAACAGCCACAAUUUAUUGGACGCCUUCAGGAAAAAUGUCAAAGCCAGGCAUUCGUCCAAAGUGAGUGGUCCUGCUUCACGUCCCGGCACUCCUUGUCCCCU